AAGUCGUAACAAGGUUUCCGUAGGUGAACCUGCGGAAGGAUCAUUAAUGAAACUUCAAGUCGGCUGUUCUGUGCUGGUGGCAACACAUGUGCACGUUCAGUCGCAAUCCACACACCUGUGCACUUUGACUCUGAGCACCGCCUGUAACACGGCAGAGGGUUUGAGAUGAAGGUCUUAACCUGGUACUCGAGUAGUUUACACACUCUGUAUGUAAUAGAAUGUAACUGUACAAUGUACAACCAUAAACAACUUUCAACAACGGAUCUCUUGGUUCUG
Molecule: unclassified non-coding RNA, 276 nt
Filed under: fungal sp.
Lineage: Eukaryota; Fungi
Description: partial internal transcribed spacer region
Rfam family: Eukaryotic small subunit ribosomal RNA (bases 1-46)
Source: RNAcentral